CUCUCCUUCAUCCCACACCCUAAAUCUACAGAAACCACUUUAACCAGCCGAGCCCUAGAUCUGUAGAAACCCCUUCAACUAGCUGAUCCUUAGAUUUGCAGAAAGCCCUUCGACCAACCAAAAUGCACUCCCAAAACUUGCUCUCUCAAAAGCAUUUCUAGGGGAGGUUACUUCCCCAACGUAAUCCGAUAUUAUCAAAGAUCCCUCUCUGAGGUGUGUUCUUUUAUGCAAAAUCCGAAUAUUCCAAUUCAAAAUUCACAGAUGGUUGAGAGGUGUACUGGAAAUCCAUAGAAACAGAGAUCAAAUCCCUACUAGAGAAGCUCUUGGACGUCAAGGAUGCAAUGUCCGCUCCUGCAAUCCCCACAACCUCCAUCACCCAGAAGCUUACACGUCACAGAGAGAUCCUUUGCAAAUUCACUUAAUGAUGCAAUAUGCAGGGAAUAUUUGAAUUUGGAGGUCUCCUCUUAAGGGUGGAUUCUUGAAGACUAGGUGUUGUUUUGGCUUGAGUUCGUGUUCUAUUUGAAAGCUUUCAAUUUCUAUUUUGGUUGUUGGAUUUGUGGAAAAAUGGCUUGUAUGAAGCUAGGAUCGAAAUUUGAUGCAUUCCAACGACAAGGGCAGGCAUGGCGGGUUGCAUCGGGCGACAUGGUUGAGAAGACUGUUGAGAGGAGGCUGAAGAGGAUGAUCAAGAACAGGGAGUCUGCUGCUCGAUCAAGGGCCAGGAAGCAGGCGUACAUGAACAAGCUGGAGAACAAGGUUUCACGUCUGGAAGAAGAGAAUGAAAGGCUCAAGAAGUAAAAGGUGUUUGCGUAUGAUGAGAAGGAUGUUAACUAUAGAUAGACAAGUGUGACUUGCAUCCUAAAAUGGGCCACGUAUAAUCAGAAUCCUUCCUGUCCUUAGUGCAAGCAUCUGUUUCAGUUUCUCAGUGUUCAUCGAUCACCAGAUGGAAGUAUUCAUGAUUACAUGUUCGAGGAGAGUGUUUGUCUGCUCAUUAGAGCCACUUGGUUUGUGUCUUUACCAUUGGAGGCUCAGGAAGAAUCCUCAUAUGAACAAGAAGCUAUCUAUCAGUAUGAGGAUGAGGAGGAUGAUGAUCUGGAUGAUGAAGCUUUCUUUGACAGCUCCUCAAGCCUUCAUAUCGGUAACUGUAGGUGUUUUAUACCUCUUUAGUAUGUGGAUGACGAUCUGGAUGAAUUUUGCCCCUUUUUUUAGCAAUUAAUUAAUUGAAUGAAGGAUUGUAAUUGAUUCAUUAUUGAAUGAAUGAUUGUAAUUGAAUGAAUGAAUGAUUACGCAGGUGGUAAUUGAAUGAA
This is a long non-coding RNA of Magnolia sinica, 1304 nucleotides long. RefSeq lists it as uncharacterized. The record is from RefSeq and is a predicted model, not a curated record. NCBI's taxonomy places the organism in Eukaryota, Viridiplantae, Streptophyta, Magnoliopsida, Magnoliales, Magnoliaceae. The transcript is spliced from 7 exons.